UACAACUUUCAACAACGGAUCUCUUGGCUCUCGCAUCGAUGAAGAACGCAGCGAAAUGCGAUAAGUAAUGUGAAUUGCAGAAUUCAGUGAAUCAUCGAAUCUUUGAACGCACCUUGCGCUCCUUGGUAUUCCGAGGAGCAUGCCUGUUUGAGUGUC
RNAcentral lists this ribosomal RNA (156 nucleotides) under Mycoaciella uda. RNAcentral's name for it is "Sarcodontia uda 5.8S rRNA". It matches the Rfam family "5.8S ribosomal RNA". From Rfam's summary of the family: 5.8S ribosomal RNA (5.8S rRNA) is a component of the large subunit of the eukaryotic ribosome. It is transcribed by RNA polymerase I as part of the 45S precursor that also contains 18S and 28S rRNA. Lineage: Eukaryota; Fungi; Basidiomycota; Agaricomycetes; Polyporales; Meruliaceae. The record is from RNAcentral.